Molecule: ribosomal RNA, 497 nt
Filed under: uncultured bacterium
Lineage: Bacteria
Description: partial 16S ribosomal RNA
Rfam family: Bacterial small subunit ribosomal RNA
Source: RNAcentral
GAUGAACGCUGGCGGCGUGCCUAAUACAUGCAAGUCGAGCGAACAGACGAGGAGCUUGCUCCUUUGACGUUAGCGGCGGACGGGUGAGUAACACGUAGGUAACCUACCUAUAAGACUGGGAUAACUUCGGGAAACCGGAGCUAAUACCGGAUAAUAUUUCGAACCGCAUGGUUCGAUAGUGAAAGAUGGCUUUGCUAUCACUUAUAGAUGGACCUGCGCCGUAUUAGCUAGUUGGUAAGGUAACGGCUUACCAAGGCAACGAUACGUAGCCGACCUGAGAGGGUGAUCGGCCACACGGGAACUGAGACACGGUCCAGACUCCUACGGGAGGCAGCAGUAGGGAAUCUUCCGCAAUGGGCGAAAGCCUGACGGAGCAACGCCGCGUGAGUGAUGAAGGUCUUCGGAUCGUAAAACUCUGUUAUUAGGGAAGAACAAACGUGUAAGUAACUGUGCACAUCUUGACGGUACCUAAUCAGAAAGCCACGGCUAACUACGUG